GGCCCCUCCCGUGGGUGUCACAGAGACCGAUACCGGUCCCGCUCCCCGGGAAGGAGUGGGUCUGGGUCCAGUCCGCAGGACCCCCUCGCGGAUGCUGACGCAGAAUGGAGUUGAGUCCCAGCCGCGGCCCCUUUAAGAGGGGGUGGUGCUUCAGCCUGGCGCCAGGGACGCUGCCAGCAUGCAGGCCCCGACGGAAGCCGAGACUGCGCUUCGUGCGAGGCCCGGGCAGCAUCGGCGGCGUGGUCAGAGCGAGUCUCGGAGAAGAUGUGGUGGCUUCCGUUUGUUGGUGGAGGAGGUGGCAGGCCUCGGCGGGUAACCCAGAGAACACAGCCGAAGUGGAAUGUGGGGACGUCUGCGACACCGGGGACAGAGCAACUGUGGAUGAAGAGGGCUACAUCUGGUUCCUGGGGAGGAGUCAUGACACUAUCAAUGCCUCUGGGUGGUGAAGGCAUUGAUUGUCCUGACCCCACAGUUUCUGUCCCAUGACAAGGACCAGCUGACUAAGGAGCUGCAGCAGCAUGUAAAGUCAGUGACAGCCCCAUGUUGUAAGGGAAGCAUGGCACCAGCAUCUGCUUCUGAUGAGGGCCUCAGGAAGCUUCCCAUCAUGGCAUAUGGCAAAGAGGGAGCAAGCAAAUCAUGGUGAGAAAGGAAGCAAGAGUGAGCGGGAGGAAAUGCCAGGCUCUUUUGAUCAGCCGGAUCUCGCAUGAAGUCAUAGAGUGAGAACUCAUUCAUUACUGCAGGACAACACCAAGUCAUUUGUGAAGAUUCCAUCCCCGUGACCCAAACACCUCCGGGUAGGCCCACCUCCAACACUGGAGGUCACAUUUCAACAUGAGAUUUGGAGGGGACAAACAUCUAAACCAUAUCAAGAUUUUUCAUUUAUUUGUCUAAAUUGAUUCCUAUGUAUUUCAUAUUUUUGUAGCUAUUGUAAAUGAGAUUGCUUUCUUGAUUUCUUUUUUCAGAUUAUUCACCAUUGACAUAUAUAAAUGCUACUAAUUUCUGUAUGUUGAGUUUGUAUCCAGCAACUUACUGAAUUAGUUUACCAGUUCUAGCAGUUUUUUGGUGGAGUCUUUAGGUUUUUCUAAGUGUAAGUUCAUGUCAUCUGUGAACAAGGCUAUGAUUUCUUUCUUUCCAAUUUUAGUACUCUUUAUUUUUUUCCCUUGCCUAAUUGCUCUUCCAGGACUUCCAAUAUUAUGUUAAAUAAAAGUGGUGAAAAGUGAGCAUCCUUGUCUUAUUCCAGAUGUUAGAAGAAAGGUUUUCAAUAUACAAUGUUAGCUGUGUGUUUGUCAUCUACGGCCUAUGUUAUUUUGAGGUAUGUUUCUUCUAUACCCAGUUUGCUGAGGAUUUUUACUAUAAAGGUAUGUUGAAUUUUAUUGGAUGAUUUUUCAAUAUCUAUUGAAAUGGUCAUAUGGCUUCUGUUCUUGGUUCUGUUAAUGUGAUGUAUCACAUUUAUUGAUUUGCGUAUGUUGAAUCAUCCUUGAAUUCCUGGGAUGAAUUUUACUUGAUCAUGGUGAAUUAUUUUUUAACAUGUUGUUGAAGUUCACUAGUAUUUUGUUGAGAAUUUUUGCAUCUAUGUUUAUGCUUGAUAUUGGCCUGUGGUUUUCUUUUUUGUGUGUAUUUAUCUGGUUUUGGUAUCAGAGUAAUGCUGACUUUCUAGAAUAAGUUUAGAAGUAUUCCCUCCUCUUCAAUUUUUUGAAGCACUUUCUUGAAUAUAAUUAGUAUUAUUUCUUUUUUUUUUUUUUUGAGACAGAGUCUCACUCCAUCGCCCAGGCUGGAGUGCAACGGCGCCAUCUGGGCUCACUGCAACCUCCACCUCCUGGGUUCUAGGGAUUCUCAUGCCUCAGCCUCCUGAGUAGCUGGGACUACAGACAUCCAC
RNAcentral lists this long non-coding RNA (1876 nucleotides) under Homo sapiens (human). RNAcentral's name for it is "HSALNT0404813". Lineage: Eukaryota; Metazoa; Chordata; Mammalia; Primates; Hominidae. The record is from RNAcentral.